GCAAAAGCUCAAAUUUGAAAUCUGCCUGUGGCCGAGUUGUAAUUUGAAGGCCCCGUCUUUGGAAACGACUGCUCAAGUUCCUUGGAACAGGACAUCAUGGAGGGUGAGAAUCCCGUGAGGCAGUUUUCCGGUGUAAAGUGGGGCCGACGAGUCGAGUUGUUUGGGAAUGCAGCUCAAAGUGGGUGGUAAAUUCCAUCUAAAGCUAAAUAUUGGCGAGAGACCGAUAGCGAACAAGUACUGUGAAGGAAAGAUGAAAAGCACUUUGAAAAGAGAGUGAAAAAGUACGUGAAAUUGUUGAAAUGGAAGGGCUUGAAAUCAGACAUGGCGCAGGACGCUCCUCUGCCCCUCGGGGUUGGGUACUCGUUCUGGGCCGGGCCAGCAUCAGUUUGGCGGGCGGGAC
Molecule: ribosomal RNA, 400 nt
Filed under: Trichomonascaceae sp.
Lineage: Eukaryota; Fungi; Ascomycota; Dipodascomycetes; Dipodascales; Trichomonascaceae
Description: partial 28S ribosomal RNA
Rfam family: Eukaryotic large subunit ribosomal RNA
Source: RNAcentral